UACGUAGGGAGCAAGCGUUGUCCGGAAUCAUUGGGCGUAAAGCGCGCGUAGGUGGCCACAUAAGUCCGUUGUGAAAGUCAAAGGCUCAACCUUUGAAAGCCGAUGGAUACUGUGUGGCUAGAGUACGGAAGAGGCGAGUGGAAUUCCUGGUGUAGCGGUGGAAUGCGUAGAUAUCGGGAGGAACACCUGUGGCGAAAGCGGCGCACUGGACCACAACUGACGCUGAGGCGCGAAAGCUAGGGGAGCAAACAGG
RNAcentral lists this ribosomal RNA (253 nucleotides) under uncultured bacterium. RNAcentral's name for it is "partial 16S ribosomal RNA". It matches the Rfam family "Bacterial small subunit ribosomal RNA", at positions 524 to 776 of the family's 1533-position model. The record is from RNAcentral.